This 657-nucleotide long non-coding RNA is filed under the name Pan troglodytes (chimpanzee). Its description in RNAcentral is "long non-coding RNA NONPTRT011823". The record is from RNAcentral. Lineage: Eukaryota; Metazoa; Chordata; Mammalia; Primates; Hominidae.
CACGGCUCUGCGCGGGCGACGGCCGGAGCACUGGUGUUGGGGGCAUGGAGGUGCUGCGGAUGCCAGGGAGGAUCACCUGAGCCCAGGAGGUCAAAGCUUCAGUGAGCUGCGAUCUCACUGUCAGGCCUCUGAGCCCAAGCUAAGCCAUGGCAUCCCCGGUGACUUGCACGUAUACGCCCAGAUGGCCUGAAGUAACUGAAGAAUCACAAAAGAAGUGAAAAUGCCCUGCCCCGCCUUAACUGAUGACAUUCCACCACAAAAGAAGUGAAAAUGCCCUGCCCCGCCUUAACUGAUGACAUUCCACCACAAAAGAAGUGAAAAUGGCCGGUCCUUGCCUUAACUGAUGACAUUGUCUUGUGAAAUUCCUUCUCCUGGCUCAUCCUGGCUCAAAAAGCUCCUCCACUGAGCCCCUUGUGACCCCCACUCCUGCCCGCCAGAGAACAAUCCCCCUUUGUAAUUUCCUUUACCUACCCAAAUCCUAUAAAACGGCCCCACCCUUACCUCCCUUCGCUGACUCUCUUUUCAGACUCAGCCCGCCUGCACCCAGGUGAUUAAAAGCUUUACUGCUCACACAAAGCCUAUUUGGUGGUCUCUUGUGAGCUGCGAUCUCACCAAUGCACUCCAGCCUGGGCAGCAGAGCAAGACCCUGUCUCUAAU